RNAcentral lists this ribosomal RNA (429 nucleotides) under Chloroflexota bacterium. RNAcentral describes it as "Chloroflexi bacterium partial 16S ribosomal RNA". It matches the Rfam family "Bacterial small subunit ribosomal RNA", at positions 355 to 776 of the family's 1533-position model. Lineage: Bacteria; Bacillati; Chloroflexota. The record is from RNAcentral.
UGGGGAAUAUUGCACAAUGGGCGCAAGCCUGAUGCAGCCAUGCCGCGUGUGUGAAGAAGGCCUUCGGGUUGUAAAGCACUUUCAGCGGGGAGGAAGGCGAUAAGGUUAAUAACCUUGUCGAUUGACGUUACCCGCAGAAGAAGCACCGGCUAACUCCGUGCCAGCAGCCGCGGUAAUACGGAGGGUGCAAGCGUUAAUCGGAAUUACUGGGCGUAAAGGGCUUGUAGGCGGCUUGUUGCGCCUGCUGUGAAAACGCGGGGCUUAACUUCGCGCGUGCAGUGGGUACGGGCAGGCUUGAGUGUGGUAGGGGUGACUGGAAUUCCAGGUGUAGCGGUGGAAUGCGCAGAUAUCUGGAGGAACACCGAUGGCGAAGGCAGGUCACUGGGCCAUUACUGACGCUGAGGAGCGAAAGCAUGGGUAGCGAACAGG